Molecule: ribosomal RNA, 468 nt
Filed under: uncultured bacterium
Lineage: Bacteria
Description: partial 16S ribosomal RNA
Rfam family: Bacterial small subunit ribosomal RNA
Source: RNAcentral
GAUGAACGCUGGCGGCGUGCUUAACACAUGCAAGUCGAACGGAAAGGCCGAAGCUUGCUUCGGUACUCGAGUGGCGAACGGGUGAGUAACACGUGGGUGAUCUGCCCUGUACUUCGGGAUAAGCUUGGGAAACUGGGUCUAAUACCGGAUAUGACGAUCUCUUGGAUGGGGUUGUGGAAAGCUUUUGCGGUAUGGGAUGAGCUCGCGGCCUAUCAGCUUGUUGGUGGGGUAAUGGCCUACCAAGGCGUCGACGGGUAGCCGGCCUGAGAGGGUGUACGGCCACAUUGGGACUGAGAUACGGCCCAGACUCCUACGGGAGGCAGCAGUGGGGAAUAUUGCACAAUGGGCGCAAGCCUGAUGCAGCGACGCUGCGUGGGGGAUGACGGCCUUCGGGUUGUAAACUCCUUUCGCAAUCGACGAAGCCUUUUGGUGACGGUAGGUUGAGAAGAAGCACCGGCUAACUACGUG